UAAAAAAUAUGUGGUUGAAAUAGAUUCAAUUAACUAUUGAAGAAUGUCUUAUGAUAGAAAAAUGGGGCUUAAACAAGGGCUUGCUUUAUUAUUUUAAAAUGAGCAUGCAGGAUAUAAAUGCGCAUUAUGUUGAUAGAUAGCAUGUUCAAUAGGAUUUGGAACUCACCCCUAUACCAGGAAACUAAGAAUUUGUAAUGUGCUACAGAUUGUGGAAUUUUAGGAUGAUGGAAGAUGGAUUGAUAAAUUGUUUUACACGCGUAUAAAGUGUCACCUCCAAAUCCACAUAUGCAGAAUCCUCCCUACUUAAUCUAUGCAUAUACACAUUGUUACUUAGACUUGGCGGGAAGUGUCGGAUAAAAUCCCUCGUUGAACAUGGGUACUCUUUUUCAUCUUUGGGUUUUCAAAUUCAUUCUGUAAAUUACUCAUGAUCUCUCUUUCUUAGUUUCAAGCUGGCUUGAUGAUGAUGAAUGAAAGUACUCGAUGAUUGGAAGUCGGAUACAUUGGAGAGUUUAAGUACAUCAAUGAUCACUGAUCUGGUAAAAUUGUGGUUGAACAAAUGUAGAGUCAUCAGCCCUGACUUUGACGUUGCUAUCCAGGAAAUUGAGGAAUGGAAUGCAAGGUUGCUUCCCUUCUGGCAGUUUUGGAUACAUUUGUUGGCAUCAUGGAGCAUGAAGAGGCUAGGAGAAAGAAGGUUGAGGGGGAAAGUGUGCAAUCCCUGUGCAAACUAGUUUCUGAUGUAAUGACUAAGAAUCUGUUCCUUCGACUGUCCAAGACAUUUUGUGUUGAGGAACAAAGACUUGUUCGUUCGAUCAUCCAAUGCGCUUUAUGUUGAGGAUCAAGGAUUGGCUCCUUCGAUUGUCCAUGGCGUUGAGGACCAAGAACCAGCUUCUUCGACCAUUCAAGACAUUUUGUGUUGAGUACUAAGGACUUGCUUCUUCAACCGUCCGAGGGACUUUGUGUUGAGGACCGUCCAAGGCACUUUGUAUUUAGGACCAAGGGCUGGCUCCUUCGACUGUCCAAGGCACUUUGUGUUUGGGACAUUUACAUAUUUGGAAGGCUCGUAAUUUUAGAUGAUAAUGAAUUUAAGAGAUUUACUACCCCUUUUUAUUUGCUUUCUUUUUUCUUUUGCAUGAUAGGAAUAAGUUCCAAUGAUAAAGUAUACUCUAACAUACACGAAAUUAUUGAGCUUAAAAAUUAAGGCAAAAGUUAUUUGCGUUUCAAAGAUACCAAUUUGAAGUACCAUGCCUAGACUUGCCAACGAAUGAUCCUUCUCCUGACCUCCUGAGCCAUUGUUGGAGUUGUAUAUGCCUACCAUUAGUGAAUGUCACGAAAGUUUGGAUAUUGGCAAGUGCAACCACUUCCGCAGAGCAUGGAGUGCAUCCCAAAGGCUGAAAUUUGUGAGAGGUUUGACAUUAAAGAAAUAUGAUGCGAAAGUGCAUUGGCCAGUCGAUGGGAGAUUUCUUUUCUUCCAAAUUUUGGGAAUAGUCCUUAUGGGUCCAAAAAUUUGUACUCAAGAGGAAUCUUUGUGAGUUAGCUUUUGUAGUCGGUUCUGCUACAAAAGAUUACAAUUGCCCAAACUCUAUCUACAGACUCUUUGUGAGGUUUAGUGUCCAGAGACCAUGUAGCACCCCGAAAAUUUUAUAGAAUAAACUUAAUUCCAAUAUGUUCACGGUUUCAUUUAAGUUUGGAAUUAAUUAUGUUUAAUGCGACGGGUGGUCAAAAGAUGUUCCACAAUAUCACAUGCCCCAUGCAUGCUUGUCAAGUCUUAAAAUUAAUUGCAUUGUUACUAAAAUUAUUGUUUCUAUCGCAUCUAAAUUAAAUUAUUAUAUUGACUUUAGUGAUUAUAAUGAUUUUUAUAUAUGAAGAAAAUUUAUCAAUUGUCAAAUAGUGCCUUUU
RNA transcript from Olea europaea var. sylvestris, 1896 nucleotides. It is a transcript of the gene named 40S ribosomal protein S15a-like, with no coding region annotated. The record is from RefSeq and is a predicted model, not a curated record. The transcript is spliced from 4 exons. Lineage: Eukaryota; Viridiplantae; Streptophyta; Magnoliopsida; Lamiales; Oleaceae.